GCAGCUAAAAAGGUGUAUAAUGCUGAAUUAUAUAAUUCUAAAGAGAGGUUCUUCAUAAAUAAUGAUCCACAGUUCUAUUUUUAUCUCAUAGUUAUCUAUUAUUAUUUCAAUCUAUCCUUUAGUUUUUAAUUUUUACCUCGGUAGCACAACACCAUAAUAAUCAUUCCUUUCCCUCGAGAAGGCAAUACUCCUAUAGAGAAAAUGCUUGAAGGUUAAAGUAG
RNAcentral lists this long non-coding RNA (221 nucleotides) under Elaeis guineensis (African oil palm). RNAcentral's name for it is "long non-coding RNA (EGUI_LNC035153)". The record is from RNAcentral. Lineage: Eukaryota; Viridiplantae; Streptophyta; Magnoliopsida; Arecales; Arecaceae.